CGUAGGGUGCAAGCGUUAAUCGGAAUUACUGGGCGUAAAGCGUGCGCAGGCGGUUAUGUAAGACAGAUGUGAAAUGCCCGGGCUCAACCUGGGAACUGCAUUUGUGACUGCAUGGCUAGAGUUUGGCAGAGGGGGGUAGAAUUCCACGUGUAGCAGUGAAAUGCGUAGAUAUGUGGAGGAAUACCGAUGGCGAAGGCAGCCCCCUGGGUCAAGACUGACGCUCAUGCACGAAGCGUGGGAGCAAACAGGAUU
This 252-nucleotide ribosomal RNA is filed under the name uncultured bacterium. RNAcentral's name for it is "partial 16S ribosomal RNA". It matches the Rfam family "Bacterial small subunit ribosomal RNA", at positions 526 to 779 of the family's 1533-position model. The record is from RNAcentral.